AACGAACGCUGGCGGCAUGCCUAACACAUGCAAGUCGAACGAGACCUUCGGGUCUAGUGUCGCACGGGUGCGUAACGCGUGGGAACCUUCCCUUAGGUUCGGAAUAACUCAGAGAAAUUUGAGCUAAUACCGGAUAAUGUCUUCGGACCAAAGAUUUAUCGCCUUUGGAUGGGCCCGCGUAGGAUUAGCUUGUUGGUUGGGUAAUGGCCUACCAAGGCGACGAUCCUUAGCUGGUAUGAGAGGAUGAUCAGCGACACUGGGACUGAGACACGGCCCAGACUCCUACGGGAGGCAGCAGUGGGGAAUAUUGGACAAUGGGCGAAAGCAUGAUCCAGCAAUGCCGCGUGAGUGAUGAAGGCAUUAGGGUUGUAAAGCGCUUUUACCAGGGAUGAUAAUGACAGUACCUGGAGAAUAAGCUCCGACUAACUACGUG
This 433-nucleotide ribosomal RNA is filed under the name uncultured bacterium. Its description in RNAcentral is "partial 16S ribosomal RNA". It matches the Rfam family "Bacterial small subunit ribosomal RNA", at positions 29 to 507 of the family's 1533-position model. The record is from RNAcentral.